UUAGGUUUGUAUACAUGUUGGUUGUGGUGAGAGGUGAUUCGAGCCAUAGGUAUGGAGAAAAUCUUGUUGGGAGCAGCACCCAGGAAUAGGCUCUGGUGAGUGCGAUCCGGAUUUAGGGUGGAAAAAAUAAAGGUAUAUUGUAGAAUUAGUUGUGCUGUGUUGGUCCUGGGUGUGGAGAAAAUCAUGUUGGGAGUGACACUCCAGAAUGGGCUCUGGUGAGCGCGAUCCGAAUUUAGGGCUCCGG
RNAcentral lists this unclassified non-coding RNA (244 nucleotides) under Hevea brasiliensis (rubber tree). The record is from RNAcentral. Lineage: Eukaryota; Viridiplantae; Streptophyta; Magnoliopsida; Malpighiales; Euphorbiaceae.